GACGAACGCUGGCGGCGUGCUUAACACAUGCAAGUCGAACGGAAAGGCCCUGCUUUUGUGGGGUGCUCGAGUGGCGAACGGGUGAGUAACACGUGAGUAACCUGCCCUUGACUUUGGGAUAACUUCAGGAAACUGGGGCUAAUACCGGAUAGGAGCUCCUGCUGCAUGGUGGGGGUUGGAAAGUUUCGGCGGUUGGGGAUGGACUCGCGGCUUAUCAGCUUGUUGGUGGGGUAGUGGCUUACCAAGGCUUUGACGGGUAGCCGGCCUGAGAGGGUGACCGGCCACAUUGGGACUGAGAUACGGCCCAGACUCCUACGGGAGGCAGAAGUGGAGAAUAUUGCACAAUGGGCGGAAGCCUGAUGCAGCAACGCCGCGUGCGGGAUGACGGCCUUCGGGUUGUAAACCGCUUUCGCCGGUGACGAAGCGUGAGUGACGGUAAUGGGUAAAGAAGCACCGGCUAACUACGUG
RNAcentral lists this ribosomal RNA (468 nucleotides) under uncultured bacterium. Its description in RNAcentral is "partial 16S ribosomal RNA". It matches the Rfam family "Bacterial small subunit ribosomal RNA", at positions 28 to 507 of the family's 1533-position model. The record is from RNAcentral.